RNAcentral lists this ribosomal RNA (250 nucleotides) under uncultured bacterium. RNAcentral's name for it is "partial 16S ribosomal RNA". It matches the Rfam family "Bacterial small subunit ribosomal RNA", at positions 524 to 773 of the family's 1533-position model. The record is from RNAcentral.
AACGUAGGACGCGAGCGUUAUCCGGAGUUACUGGGCGUAAAGGGCGGGUAGGCGGUCUAUCAAGUUGGUUGUGAAAUCUCCUGGCUAAACUGGGAGGGUGCAAUCGAAACUGAUAGGCUAGAGGGCAGCAGAGGGCCGUGGAAUUCCGGGUGGAGUGGUGAAAUGCGUAGAGAUCCGGAGGAACACCAGAGGCGAAAGCGGCGGCCUGGGCUGCGACUGACGCUGAACCGCGAAAGCCAGGGGAGCGAAC